UAUUAUUGCCCUGCUACUAAUACUAAUUUUCCAAAAAAACAUUGAAUGUGUAAAAAUAAUCUUUUAGUUGGAGUAAAAAAUCUUGCCAAAGUUAAUUGGGUGGCCUAUUAACCCGAAAUACUUAACUUAAUCACAACAGAAAUGAAGUGCCGACAACACAAAUGUGGCCUCCUUGUUGGAUUAUUCAUUAGUAAGAAUUGUUCUGGUUCCUAAAUCUAUGUUAGGUAGGAUGGAUACAACCAUUAUUCUUGAAGGUGCAUAUCCAAAAUCAAGUAAAAACAAUAUUUCAAAUGAUGGCCCAAACAACCAUCUAACUUUAUGUUAGGAAAGUCAUAAACUACACAUCAUUCUGAUUUAGAAGUCAUAUAAUACCUUUUGGUCCUCAGAGCCAUUCUUCUCUUUUCUUUCCUUGUCGUGAAGUGCGGUAUAAACUUUGAAGUACCAAGAGCUGCAAAUUGAACUCAGAAGUCAAAAUAGGUCGUACGAACAAAACAAAAUAAACCUUUAUCUAUAAUGAAAGUUGAGUGCAAAACUACUAUACAGUAAAGCCAUGGAAUUUCAAAUAUAAGCCGGGAUGGGGAGAUGCGAUGUAGAGAAACAUAGCUAAAUAUAAGAAUGAAGCACUUAGGCUUGCGAAACACUGAACAACAUUGCCCUAAGGAUCAGAUCAAGUUCUUUGCUAACUGGUCACUCACAUGCUCUUCUUGGCCAUUCUCUGGAUUUAUGGAGAAGAUCCCUUGAACCUAAGAAUGCAAAAUGAGAAAAAUCAUGUUGAUUCAGACCUUAUUGAUAUACAAAAGGAGAAAUCUAUGUAUUUUGACUUUCUCUACGAUUCUAUAUUUGAACUACCUAUGAAGAAAGCUUUCGUUUACCAAACAAAUACACCUUUUGUGUGUCGCUGCUUAUUUGAAUCUUACACUUAGUCACCUUCAAAUAUCAAUUUGUCUUCUAGCUAGUUAAGUGUGCAUAUUGAAUCUUGAAGUAUAUAAUUCCACAGAUAAAAAAUUACCCCAAAUCAUAAAUCAAAGUAUAUAAUUCCAAAGGCUGAAACCCUAAAUCAAAGUCAUAUACAAUUCCGCAGACACUAAAAUAUCUAAACUCCCUUUAAUUCACCAUAUAUAAUUCCGCAGAUAAAAAAAUGACUCCAAAUCAUAAAAGGAAAUCAAUGAGAAAUUCAUGAAAGGCAGCAAAAAAAAUGAUAAGAAAAUACUGUUGUAGAUCAUAUUGGAGUUUUAGCCGCUGAUACUGACCUUUUCAACACUUCUUGUAUCAUGCCCUUGCUCAUGAACCUCUCCGCCAUUGUCUUUACUUGGAGGACCGAUCUUCCCUGCAGCAACAUCAUCCUGAAAGUCACAACCAAAACAUAUCAUAACCAAGCAACAAUCUCAUAGUCGAUCAGUGAUCAUUUAUGUUGCAGAUCUUUGCUGCAUUCCCACCACUCAAGGGGCGUCAUUCAUUAUACUACCAACAUCCUCCUGCAGUGAACAACCAAAUUAGAAAAACAGUGGUCUCGUGAUUAUUCAAGGAGCCAUUUUUCUCAAAACCAACACCCCCUGAAAUCAAUAACCAAACCAGACUAACUAACCAGCAAUCCCACCAAACAUCAAUAACCACAAUUUUCACACCUUCACUGCAUCUGCGCCGUCAUUAUCUAGUGUCAACAUUCCCCCGCAAUCAAUAAUUUUACUACUCAGGCGGUCUCGUUGGUGGGCAACCUGCAGAAGCGAAUAGCUUGAGAACCUUUGCAUCUGCGCCGUCAUUAUCUAGUGUCAACAUUCCCCCGCAAUCAAUAAUUUUACUACUCAGGCGGUCUCGUUGGUGGGCAACCUGCAGAAGCGAAUAGCUUGAGAACCUUUGCCUCCUGAGCGGUGGCGCCCUCGCCCUCCCUGGCCAGGAGGCCUGUCCGAGGCAUGCCGCGGGGGUUGAUGACGAUGCUGGGCAGCCGCUCGAUGUCCCAGCCGAGCACGCUGCAUAUAACAGACCCAACACGCUCAGAGGCAAAGAACAAAGGGAAAAGUGAGAGAGCAAUGAGGAGGCACCUGAGGUGAGGCGAGGCCAGUGACGGGCAACGGCGAUGACACUCUGACCUUGAUCCAGUCACGAGAAACCCCGAUCCACCAGCGCCUUGUGCUUCCCCGUGGAUGACGCCCAGCUUCCUCCCGUCGACGGCGCGACGAUCCACUGCUCCGCUGGCUCGUGCUCCUCCUCGCCGCGUCUCCUCCGCGUGCGGCGCCGACGGACUCCGGACGCAUCUAGGCCAGACGGCGACAGAGACGGGCGGCACAGAGGAGAGGAGGAGGACGGGCGGCGGCGACACAGAGGAGGAGGAAGACGGGCAACGGCAGUGCAGAGGAGAGGAGGAGGAUGGGCAGCGGUGCCGCAGAGGAGAGGAGGAGGACGGGUGGCGGCGGCUCAGAGGAGAGGAGGAGGUAGGGUUACGGGAGGGGAAGCCGCGAGGGGAGGACGGAGCGGAGCUGCGCGUGUGCGGGAGGUGGCUUGCUGCACUUAUAUGCCACCAGGUGAAAUGACGAAAUUACCCUUAGCGGGCCACCAAAUUUACAGGCGGUGGCAUGACGACCCCGAUUAAAUGACUAAAAUACCCUGGUGCUCUGUUUGUAAAGCGUCCCUAAAGCGUCGCUUAAGCGACGCUUAAGCGUUAGAGCGCCCUCCAGGCUCAAAGCGUCCAACUCGCUUUAGACAUGUGUCUAAGGCGUCCGCCUUAGACACUAAAGCGUCUGAAGCGCCUGCUUAGGCAUCCUGAUUGGCGCUUUAAGGCAGAGAGGACGCCUUAGACUUGCCAGGCAGGGUACAGAGAUUCCUGGCAGGGAAACAGGGCUGGGCUCACAUUUGAAACAGUUACAGGAGGGGAAAGAAAGAGAGAGAACCAAAACCAGAGCGUGCAAAUAUCCAGGCUUUCAGCUCUUUCCUCUCUCCUCUGGCAGCAGCUUCCUCAGAUCUGCACCAGCCUUUUCUGCUCUGUUGUGUGUUAUGCUAUGCACAACUCCUCUGCUGUUAGGUGCUACUGCCUCUCUUAUAGCAAUUGGCUAGUUGCUUGCUGCUUAGUGGAUGGAUCAGAAUAUAUGGGCUCACUGGUGGAUUAGAAUCAACAUAUAUAUGUCUCACUAAAUGGUGCUCUAUUAUACUGCCCAUCAGGUUCAGAGUCUGUCUAAAGCGUCGCCUCGCUUUACGCUUUAUCGCUUAAGCAGUGAGGCGCCCCCCUAGCGCCUCGCUUCGCUUUACCGCUUUAUAAACAUAGCCCUGGUGUGGGCAAAGAUAUUACAUUCUGAUGCAAUUGAAAUUUUAUCCGACGGCCGAAGUUGAUCCGGUAAAUAUCCAACGACCCACAGCGAUUUGGAUCGAGAUCCGACAGUCUGUGUCGCGAGGAGAUUCCGAUCCGACGGCUGAAAAUCCAAACGCCUGAGGAGGCUCCAUUUCGGUUCUGACUCUAACAAGGGUAAGCAAAAAAUCUUGCCAAAGUUAAUUGGGUGGCCUAUUAACCCGAAAUACUUAACUUAAUCACAACAGAAAUGAAGUGCCAACAACACAAAUGUGGCCUCCUUGUUGGAUUAUUCAUUAGUAAGAAUUGUUUUGGUUCCUAAAUCUAUGUUAGAUAGGAUGGAUACAACCAUUAUUCUUGAAGGUGCAUAUGCAAAAUCAAGUAAAAAUAAUAUUUCAAAUGAUGGCCCAAACAACCAUCCAACUUUAUGUUAGGAAAGUCAUAAACUACACAUCAUUCUGAUUUAGAAGUCAUAUAAUACCUUUUGGUCCUCAGAGCCAUUCUUCUCUUUUCUUUCCUUGUCGUGAAGUGCGG
This 3811-nucleotide long non-coding RNA is filed under the name Triticum aestivum (bread wheat). RNAcentral describes it as "long non-coding RNA (TAES_LNC003837)". Lineage: Eukaryota; Viridiplantae; Streptophyta; Magnoliopsida; Poales; Poaceae. The record is from RNAcentral.